CCUCCGGCUCAGCGGUCAGGCAAAGGCUGGAGGCGGCGCCGCACCGGCUCUCGUCCUGCUCCUCGUGCUCCAGGAUGGCCUGCAGGAAGGCGCGCCGCUCGUGGCUCGACGACUUCUGGUCGAACAUGCCGGCCUGGAUCACCUUCUGGUCCACGUUCAGUUUGUAUUUGGCGGCCGCCAGGAUCUUCUCCUCCACGCUGUUGACGGUGCAGAGGCGCAGCACGCGGACCUCGUUCUGCUGCCCGAUGCGGUGAGCGCGGUCCUGAGCCUGCAGGUCCUGGUGGGGGUUCCAGUCGCUGUCGAAGAUG
Molecule: long non-coding RNA, 308 nt
Filed under: Gallus gallus (chicken)
Lineage: Eukaryota; Metazoa; Chordata; Aves; Galliformes; Phasianidae
Source: RNAcentral